AGUACCGUGAGGGAAAGGUGAAAAGAACCCCGGGAGGGGAGUGAAAGAGAACCUGAAACCAUAUGCCUACAAGAAGUCAGAGCCCGUUAAAGGGUGAUGGCGUGCCUUUUGUAGAAUGAACCGGCGAGUUACUGUAUGGAGCGAGGUUAAGCAGGAUAUGCGGAGCCGAAGCGAAAGCGAGUCUUAAGAGGGCGAGAGUUGCAUGCAGUAGACCCGAAACCGGGUGAUCUAGCCAUGACCAGGUUGAAGUUGGGGUAAAACCCGAUGGAGGACCGAACCGACCCCCGUUGAAACGUUGGCGGAUGAGUUGUGGCUAGGGGUGAAAUUCCAAUCGAACCCGGAGAUAGCUGGUUCUCCCCGAAAUAGCUUUAGGGCUAGCGUCGAGGUAAGUUGCGUGAAGGUAGAGCACUGAAUAUGUGAUGGCCCCAUCUCGGGGUACUGAGCAUAAUCAAACUGCGAAUGUCACGCCAACAUGCUCGGCAGUCAGACAGCGGGUGAUAAGGUCCGUUGUCAAGAGGGAAACAGCCCAGACCAUCAGCUAAGGUCCCAAAAUGUAUGCUAAGUGGAAAAGGAUGUGGAGAUGUACAGACAACUAGGAGGUUGGCUCAGAAGCAGCCAUCCUUUAAAGAGUGCGUAACAGCUCACUAGUCGAAUGACUCUGCGCCGAUAAUUUACCGGGGCUAAGCAUACUACCGAAGCUAUGGAUCCCAAGGGAUGGUAGGGGAGCGUUCCAUGAACGGAGAAGUACGACCGAAAGGACGUGUGGAGAUCAUGGAAGAGAGAAUGCCGGUGUGAGUAGCGGAACGUGGGUGAGAAUCCCACGCACCGAAAACCCAAGGUUUCCAGAGGAAGGUUCGUCCGCUCUGGGUAAGUCGGGACCUAAGGCGAGGCCGAAAGGCGUAGUCGAUGGACAACAGGUAGAGAUUCCUGUACCCGUAUAUAUGUGAAGGAAUGACGGAGAGAGGAAGCUGCAGCCAGCGGCUGGAAGAGCUGGUGCAAGCGAGAUAUCGGGAUGGCAGGCAAAUCCACCAUCCGAAACGAGAAGGCGUGAAGCGUACGGAAAGCUACGGCGAGUACGGAAGGCAGUGGAGGAACUUCCAAGAAAAGUUUCUAACGUAAAGUAUAUAUGGCCCGUACCGAAAAUGGACACACAUGGGUGAGGAGAGAAUCCUAAGGUGAGCGAGAGAACUAUAGCUAAGGAACUCUGCAAAAUGACUCCGUAACUUAGGGAGAAGGAGUGCUCAUAGAGAUAUGAGCCGCAGUGAAACGGCCCAAGCGACUGUUUACCAAAAACACAGCUCUCUGCUAAGCCGCAAGGCGAAGUAUAGGGGGUGACGCCUGCCCGGUGCUGGAAGGUUAAGGGGAGGGGUUAACGCAAGUGAAGCCCUGAACUGAAGCCCCAGUAAACGGCGGCCGUAACUAUAACGGUCCUAAGGUAGCGAAAUUCCUUGUCAGGUAAGUUCUGACCCGCACGAAAGGCGUAACGAUUUGGGCGCUGUCUCAGCUGUAGACUCGGUGAAGUCUUAGUACCUGUGAAGAUGCAGGUUACCCGCGACUAGACGGAAAGACCCCAUGGAGCUUCACUGCAGGUUGAUAUUGGGAUUUGAUGCAGCAUGUACAGGAUAGGUAGGAGGCAAAGAGAUGGAUACGCCAGUAUUCAAGGAGCCGCUGUUGGGAUACUACCCCUGUUGUAUUGGAUUUCUAACCGGACGACGUAGAGCCGUUGACGGGACAGUGUCAGUCGGGCAGUUUGACUGGGGCGGUCGCCUCCCAAAGAGUAACGGAGGCGCCCAAAGAUACCCUCAGCUUGGAUGGAAACCAAGCGCAGAGUGCAAAGGCAAAAGGGUGUUUGACUGCGAGACCCACAAGUCGAGCAGGGACGAAAGUCGGGCUUAGUGAUCCGGCGGUGCUGAAUGGAAAGGCCGUCGCUCAACGGAUAAAAGCUACCCUGGGGAUAACAGGCUGAUCUCCCCCAAGAGU
Molecule: ribosomal RNA, 1980 nt
Filed under: human gut metagenome
Description: bacterial LSU rRNA
Rfam family: Bacterial large subunit ribosomal RNA
Source: RNAcentral